CUGUGUCCUUCGACGCCGGUUCACCGCCUGUCGGUGCCAACUGGCGUUUUGCGGGACGUCCUGUCGGUGGUGUGCCAGGAAUCUUAGUUGUGCUAUGCUUUGCUUAGUGCAGCUCUGGUUUCGGGCCACUUUCAUAAUCCCGCCGCGGUGCUCUUAAUCGUGUGUCGAGGCGGGCCGGCACGUUUACUUUGAACAAAUUAGAGUGCUUCAAGCAGGCUUGUCACGCCUGUAUACUGUGUGCAUGGAAUAAUGGAAUAGGACCUCGGUUCUAUUUUGUUGGUUUCCGGAAUCUGAGGUAAUGAUCAAUGGGGACAGGCGGGGGCAUUCGUAUUGCGACGUUAGAGGUGAAAUUCUUGGAUCGUCGCAAGACGGACCGAAGCGAAAGCAUUUGCCAAGUAUGUUCCCGUCGAUCAAGAACGAAAGUUAGAGGUUCGAAGGCGAUCAGAUACCGCCCUAGUUCUAACCAUAAACAAUGCCUGCCAGCGAUCCGCCGGCGUCCCUCCGAUGACCCGGCGGGCAGCUUCCGGGAAACCAGAGCUUUUGGGUUCCGGGGGAAGUAUGGUUGCAAAGCUGAAACUUAAAGGAUUGACGGAAGGGCACCACCAGGAGUGGAGCCUGCGGCUUAAUUUGACUCAACACGGGAAAACUCACCAGGCCCGGACACCGGAAGGAUUGACAGAUUGAUAGCUCUUUCUUGAUUCGGUGGGUGGUGGUGCAUGGCCGUUCUUAGUUGGUGGAGCGAUUUGUCUGGUUAAUUCCGAUAACGAACGAGACUCUAGCCUACUAACUAGACGUAUCUGGUAUCAGCAAUCGUGCUACCAGCGAUCAUAUCUCUUCUUAGAGGGACAGGCGGCUUCUAGCCGCACGAGACUGAGCAAUAACAGGUCUGUGAUGCCCUUAGAUGUCCUGGGCCGCACGCGCGCUACACUGAAGGAAUCAGCGUGUCUUCCCUGUCCGAAAGGACCGGGUAACCCGCUGAACCUCCUUCGUGCUUGGGAUUGGGGCUUGCAAUUGUUCCCCAUGAACGAGGAAUUCCCAGUAAGCGCGAGUCAUAAGCUCGCGUUGAUUACGUCCCUGCCCUUUGUACACACCGCCCGUCGCUACUACCGAUUGAAUGAUUUAGUGAGGUCUUCGGACCGGUGCGCGGAGGCGGUUUUCCGCUCCCGAUGUUGUCGGAAAGAUGACCAAACUUGAUCAUU
Molecule: ribosomal RNA, 1199 nt
Filed under: Chionomus havanae
Lineage: Eukaryota; Metazoa; Arthropoda; Insecta; Hemiptera; Delphacidae
Description: SSU rRNA
Rfam family: Eukaryotic small subunit ribosomal RNA
Source: RNAcentral